CCUACGGGGGGCUGCAGUAAGGAAUAUUGGUCAAUGGACGAAAGUCUGAACCAGCCAUGCCGCGUGGAGGAUGAAGGUCCUCUGGAUUGUAAACUUCUUUUAUAUGGGACGAAAAAAGGCCUUUCCAGGUCGUCUGACGGUACCAUAUGAAUAAGCACCGGCUAACUCCGUGCCAGCAGCCGCGGUAAUACGGAGGGUGCGAGCGUUAUCGGGUUACACUGGGUUUAAGGGGUGCGUAGGUGGGUUGGUGAAAUCCCCGAGCGUAACGUGGGAACUGCCAUUGAUACUAUCAGUCUUGAAUACCGUGGAGGUCAGCGGAAUAUGUCAUGUAGCGGUGAAAUGCUUAGAUAUGACAUAGAACACCAAUUGCGAAGGCAGCUGGCUACACGAGUAUUGACACUGAGGCACGAAAGCGUGGGGAUCAAACAGGAUUAGAUACCCUUGUAGUC
RNAcentral lists this ribosomal RNA (449 nucleotides) under uncultured bacterium. RNAcentral's name for it is "partial 16S ribosomal RNA". It matches the Rfam family "Bacterial small subunit ribosomal RNA", at positions 338 to 795 of the family's 1533-position model. The record is from RNAcentral.